CCGUUCCCAUGCCCCUGCAGCAGCAGCAGGAGAUGCUGGCAGCCAAGCAGCAGCAGGAGAUGCUGGCAGCCAAGCGGCAGCAGGAGCUGGAGCAGCAGCGGCAGCGGGAGCAGCAGCGGCAGGAAGAGCUGGAGAAGCAGCGGCUGGAGCAGCAGCUGCUCAUCCUGCGGAACAAGGAGAAGAGCAAAGAGAGUGCCAUUGCCAGCACCGAGGUAAAGCUGAGGCUCCAGGAAUUCCUCUUGUCGAAGUCAAAGGAGCCCACACCAGGCGGCCUCAACCAUUCCCUCCCACAGCACCCCAAAUGCUGGGGAGCCCACCAUGCUUCUUUGGACCAGAGUUCCCCUCCCCAGAGCGGCCCCCCUGGGACGCCUCCCUCCUACAAACUGCCUUUGCCUGGGCCCUACGACAGUCGAGACGACUUCCCCCUCCGCAAAACAGCCUCUGAACCCAACUUGAAAGUGCGUUCAAGGCUAAAACAGAAGGUGGCCGAGCGGAGAAGCAGUCCCCUCCUGCGUCGCAAGGAUGGGACUGUUAUUAGCACCUUUAAGAAGAGAGCUGUUGAGAUCACAGGUGCCGGGCCUGGGGAUGCUCCCUCAGCACCGAGCCCUCCCUCUGGACAGCUCCCCCAACCAGUUCAGCCUCUACACGUCUCCUUCUCUGCCCAACAUCUCCCUAGGGCUGCAGGCCACGGUCACUGUCACCAACUCACACCUCACUGCCUCCCCGAAGCUGUCGACACAGCAGGAGGCCGAGAGGCAGGCCCUCCAGUCCCUGCGGCAGGGUGGCACGCUGACAGGCAAGUUCAUGAGCACAUCCUCUAUUCCUGGCUGCCUGCUGGGCGUGGCACUGGAGGGCGACGGGAGCCCCCACGGGCAUGCCUCCCUGCUGCAGCAUGUGCUGUUGCUGGAGCAGGCCCG
Molecule: small RNA, 917 nt
Filed under: Pan troglodytes (chimpanzee)
Lineage: Eukaryota; Metazoa; Chordata; Mammalia; Primates; Hominidae
Description: retained intron
Source: RNAcentral